UGGGGAAUAUUGGACAAUGGGCGCAAGCCUGAUCCAGCCAUGCCGCGUGAGUGAUGAAGGCCCUAGGGUUGUAAAGCUCUUUCACCGGUGAAGAUAAUGACGGUAACCGGAGAAGAAGCCCCGGCUAACUUCGUGCCAGCAGCCGCGGUAAUACGAAGGGGGCUAGCGUUGUUCGGAUUUACUGGGCGUAAAGCGCACGUAGGCGGACUAUUAAGUCAGGGGUGAAAUCCCGGGGCUCAACCCCGGAACUGCCUUUGAUACUGGUAGUCUUGAGUUCGAGAGAGGUGAGUGGAAUUCCAAGUGUAGAGGUGAAAUUCGUAGAUAUUCGGAGGAACACCAGUGGCGAAGGCGGCUCACUGGCUCGAUACUGACGCUGAGGUGCGAAAGCGUGGGGAGCAAACAGG
Molecule: ribosomal RNA, 404 nt
Filed under: Actinomycetes bacterium
Lineage: Bacteria; Bacillati; Actinomycetota; Actinomycetes
Description: Actinobacteria bacterium partial 16S ribosomal RNA
Rfam family: Bacterial small subunit ribosomal RNA
Source: RNAcentral